This 253-nucleotide ribosomal RNA is filed under the name uncultured bacterium. RNAcentral describes it as "partial 16S ribosomal RNA". It matches the Rfam family "Bacterial small subunit ribosomal RNA", at positions 524 to 776 of the family's 1533-position model. The record is from RNAcentral.
UACGGAGGGUGCGAGCGUUAAUCGGAAUUACUGGGCGUAAAGCGCACGCAGGCGGUUUUUUAAGUCAGAUGUGAAAUCCCCGGGCUCAACCUGGGAACUGCAUUUGAAACUGGCAAGCUUGAGUAUGGUAGAGGGGGGUAGAAUUCCAGGUGUAGCGGUGAAAUGCGUAGAGAUGUGGAGGAAUACCGGUGGCGAAGGCGGCCCCCUGGACGAAGACUGACGCUCAUGUGCGAAAGCGUGGGGAGCAAACAGG